GGUAGCGUGGCCGAGGUGUCUAAGGCGCUGGAUUUAGACCCCAGUCUCUUCGGGGGCGUGGGUUCGAUUGCCACCACUGCCA
Non-coding RNA from Danio rerio (zebrafish), 82 nucleotides. Lineage: Eukaryota; Metazoa; Chordata; Actinopteri; Cypriniformes; Danionidae. The record is from Rfam.